UGGGGAAUAUUGGACAAUGGGGGCAACCCUGAUCCAGCCAUGCCGCGUGAGUGAUGAAGGCCUUCGGGUUGUAAAGCUCUUUUGGCGGGGACGAUGAUGACGGUACCCGCAGAAUAAGCCCCGGCUAACUUCGUGCCAGCAGCCGCGGUAAGACGAAGGGGGCUAGCGUUGGUCGGAAUUACUGGGCGUAAAGCGCGUGUAGGCGGUUGCCCAAGUCGGGUGUGAAAGCCUUGAGCUCAACUCAAGAAAUGCACUCGGUACUGGGUGACUAGAGGACCGGAGAGGAUAGUGGAAUUCCCAGUGUAGUGGUGAAAUACGUAGAGAUUGGGAAGAACACCAGUGGCGAAGGCGGCUAUCUGGACGGUUUCUGACGCUAAGACGCGAAAGCGUGGGGAGCAAACAGG
This 404-nucleotide ribosomal RNA is filed under the name uncultured bacterium. Its description in RNAcentral is "bacterial SSU rRNA". It matches the Rfam family "Bacterial small subunit ribosomal RNA", at positions 355 to 776 of the family's 1533-position model. The record is from RNAcentral.